UACGGAGGAUCCGAGCGUUAUCCGGAUUUAUUGGGUUUAAAGGGUGCGCAGGCGGGAGAUUAAGUCGGCGGUGAAAUUUUGCAGCUCAACUGUAAAAGUGCCUUCGAAACUGGUUUCCUUGAGUGUGGAUGAAGUAGGCGGAAUUUGUGGUGUAGCGGUGAAAUGCAUAGAUAUCACGAGGAACUCCGAUUGCGCAGGCAGCUUACUAAGCCAUAACUGACGCUCAGGCACGAAGGCGUGGGGAUCAAACAGGAUUAGAUACCCGUGUA
Molecule: ribosomal RNA, 269 nt
Filed under: uncultured prokaryote
Description: partial 16S ribosomal RNA
Rfam family: Bacterial small subunit ribosomal RNA
Source: RNAcentral